GUUAUAUGGUCAAGCGAAUAAGCGCACACGGUGGAUGCCUUGGCGGUCAGAGGCGAUGAAGGACGUGGCAGCCUGCGAAAAGUAUCGGGGAGCUGGCAACAAGCUUUGAUCCGGUAAUGUCCGAAUGGGGAAACCCACCCGCUUGCGGGUAUCCUGCAGUGAAUACAUAGCUGCUGGAAGCGAACCUGGUGAACUGAAAUAUCUAAGUAACCAGAGGAAAAGAAAUCAACCGAGAUUCCGUAAGUAGCGACGAGCGAACGCGGACUAGCCCUUAAGCUGAUUUGGUUCUAGGAAAACGCUCUGGAAAGAGUGGCCAUAGAAGGUGAUAGCCCUGUAUCUGAAAGGGCCAUUUCAGUGAAGACGAGUAGGGCGGGGCACGUGAAACCCUGUCUGAACAUGGGGGGACCAUCCUCCAAGGCUAAAUACUACUGACCGACCGAUAGUGAACCAGUACCGUGAGGGAAAGGCGAAAAGAACCCCGGAGAGGGGAGUGAAAUAGAACCUGAAACCGUGUGCGUACAAGCAGUAGGAGCUCCGCAAGGAGUGACUGCGUACCUUUUGUAUAAUGGGUCAGCGACUUACUGUUCGUGGCAAGCUUAACCGUAUAGGGGAGGCGAAGGGAAACCGAGUCUGAUAAGGGCGCAUAGUCGCGGGCAGUAGACCCGAAACCGGGUGAUCUAGUCAUGCCCAGGGUGAAGGUGCGGUAACACGCACUGGAGGCCCGAACCCACUCCCGUUGCAAAGGUAGGGGAUGAGGUGUGAUUAGGAGUGAAAAGCUAAUCGAACCCGGAGAUAGCUGGUUCUCCUCGAAAGCUAUUUAGGUAGCGCCUCAUAUGUAUCCUCUCGGGGGUAGAGCACUGUUAUGGCUAGGGGGUCAUCGCGACUUACCAAACCAUUGCAAACUCCGAAUACCGAGACGGACUGUAUGGGAGACACACGGCGGGUGCUAACGUCCGUCGUGAAAAGGGAAACAACCCAGACCCACAGCUAAGGUCCCAAAUUUUGUGCUAAGUGGAAAACCAUGUGGAAAGGCACAGACAGCCAGGAGGUUGGCUUAGAAGCAGCCACCCUUUAAAGAAAGCGUAAUAGCUCACUGGUCGAGUCGGUCUGCGGGGAAGAUUUAACGGGGCUAAGCACAGAACCGAAGCUUGGGGUGUGCAUAUUUAUAUGUACGCGGUAGAGGAGCGUUCCGUAAGCCGUUGAAGGUGGAUUGAGAAGUCUGCUGGAGGUAUCGGAAGUGCGAAUGCUGACAUGAGUAACGAUAAUGCGGGUGAAAAACCCGCACGCCGAAAGCCCAAGGUUUCCUUGCGCAACGUUAAUCGGCGCAGGGUGAGUCGGCCCCUAAGGCGAGGACGAAAGUCGUAGUCGAUGGGAAGCAGGUUAAUAUUCCUGCACCUCGCGUAAGUGCGAUGGAGGGACGGAGAAGGUUAGGUGUACCAGGCGUUGGUUGUCCUGGGGAAAGGCGGUAGGUUUGGAUCUUUGGCAAAUCCGGGAUCCUUUAAGACCGAGCACCGAGACGAGCCUUUAUGGCGAAGUCACUGAUACCACGCUUCCAGGAAAAGCUCCUAAGCUUCAGCUUACGCAGACCGUACCGUAAACCGACACAGGUGGGUAGGAUGAGAAUUCUCAGGCGCUUGAGAGAACUCGGGUGAAGGAACUAGGCAACAUGGCACCGUAACUUCGGGAGAAGGUGCACCCUUUUUGGUGGCUCAUGCGAGCUAUAGCUGAAGAGGGUCGCAGUAACCAGGCCGCUGCGACUGUUUAUCAAAAACACAGCACUCUGCAAACACGAAAGUGGACGUAUAGGGUGUGACGCCUGCCCGGUGCUGGAAGGUUAAUUGAUGGGGUCAGCCGCAAGGCGAAGCUCUUGAUCGAAGCCCCAGUAAACGGCGGCCGUAACUAUAACGGUCCUAAGGUAGCGAAAUUCCUUGUCGGGUAAGUUCCGACCUGCACGAAUGGCGUAACGACAGCGGCGCUGUCUCCACCCGAGACUCAGUGAAAUUGAAAUCGCUGUGAAGAUGCAGCGUUCCCGUGGCAAGACGGAAAGACCCCGUGAACCUUUACUAUAGCUUUACACUGAACGUUGAGUUCGUCUGUGUAGGAUAGGUGGGAGGCUAUGAAACUGUGGCGCUAGCUGCAGUGGAGCCAUCCUUGAAAUACCACCCUGUCGUGCUUGACGUUCUAACCUGGGCCCAUUAUCUGGGUCGGGGACCGUGUAUGGUGGGUAGUUUGACUGGGGCGGUCUCCUCCUAAAGAGUAACGGAGGAGCUCGAAGGUACGCUCAGCGCGGUCGGACAUCGCGCACUGUGUGCAAAGGCAUAAGCGUGCUUGACUGCAAGAUCGACGGAUCAAGCAGGUAGGAAACUAGGACUUAGUGAUCCGGUGGUUCUGUAUGGAAGGGCCAUCGCUCAACGGAUAAAAGGUACUCCGGGGAUAACAGGCUGAUACCGCCCAAGAGUUCAUAUCGACGGCGGUGUUUGGCACCUCGAUGUCGGCUCAUCACAUCCUGGGGCUGUAGUCGGUCCCAAGGGUAUGGCUGUUCGCCAUUUAAAGUGGUACGCGAGCUGGGUUCAGAACGUCGUGAGACAGUUCGGUCCCUAUCUGCCAUGGGCGUUGGAGAUUUGAGAGGGGCUGCUCCUAGUACGAGAGGACCGGAGUGGACGAACCUCUGGUGUUCCGGUUGUCACGCCAGUGGCAUUGCCGGGUAGCUAUGUUCGGAAGCGAUAACCGCUGAAAGCAUCUAAGCGGGAAGCGCGCCUCAAGAUGAGAUCUCCCGGGGCACAAGCCCCCUGAAGGAACCAUGUAGACUACGUGGUUGAUAGGUCAGGUGUGUAAGUGCAGCAAUGCAUUGAGCUAACUGAUACUAAUGAUCCGUGCGGCUUGACCAUAUAACCU
This 2895-nucleotide ribosomal RNA is filed under the name Stenotrophomonas sp. ESTM1D_MKCIP4_1. RNAcentral's name for it is "23S ribosomal RNA". It matches the Rfam family "Bacterial large subunit ribosomal RNA". The record is from RNAcentral. Lineage: Bacteria; Pseudomonadati; Pseudomonadota; Gammaproteobacteria; Lysobacterales; Lysobacteraceae.